AUUGAACGCUGGCGGCAGGCCUAACACAUGCAAGUCGACCGAGUAGCGGACGGGUGAGUAAUGUCUGAGAAACUGCCCGAUGGAGGGAGAUAACUACUGGAAACGGUAGAUAAUACCGCAUACCAUCAGAUGUGCCCAGAUGGGAUUAGCUGGUAGGUGGGGAAACGGCGCACCUAGGCGACGAUCCCUAGCUGGUCUGAGAGGAUGACCAGUCACACUGGAACUACGACACGGUCCAGACUCCUCCGGGAGGCAGCAGUGGGGAAUAUUGCACAAUGGGCGCAAGCCUGAUGCCGCCAUGCCGCGUGUGUGAAGAAGGCCUUCGGGUGGUAAAGCACUUUCAGCGGGGAGGCGUUACCCGCAGAAGAAGCACCGGCUAACUCCGUGCCAGCAGCCGCGGUAAUUC
This 406-nucleotide ribosomal RNA is filed under the name uncultured bacterium. RNAcentral's name for it is "partial 16S ribosomal RNA". It matches the Rfam family "Bacterial small subunit ribosomal RNA", at positions 30 to 526 of the family's 1533-position model. The record is from RNAcentral.